CGGCACUUGUGAGACAUGUCACAAUUUAUCAUCAUUUUAUCGCGGCAGGCAGUCCUAUGCAUGAGCAAUUCAUGGCGGUGCGCAUGGCGUGGAAUGGAGUGAAUUGAUGUUGUCAGGGGGCUGGUUGCAAUGGCCGAUACCGGUACCUGUGGUCCUGUGCGUCUCUGCGUGUCCUGUACAGUGUAUUCCCCCAAAUGGAUAGGGAGGGCAUGGUUGCAGGCCUGGCCAGAUCAGGUGUCUGGGUUUUAUCCCUCGCCUGCGUGUGCGUGCUUGUAUCUAACUGUACCACUUCAAUUAGGUCAAGGUUACCUGGCCCCUGUAGAGACGUGGAGGCUCAGACAAUAAGACAAUUGGUCUUAGCUCAAUGCAAACAGUGCAAAGAUUGAUUACAUUUGCUGAGUCUGCUUGUGGACAGAGAGAUGUGCGGUGUGAGGACUGUCGGCAGGAGCAUUGAUAGUAUGACAGUGGAGCGUGAAGAGGGAGAGGGACGGAGGGAGGCUGCGUGGUGCUGGCAGAGGGACGGAGGACGAGGUGGGCACCAUGCGGCCUUUGCAAUGCAUUCAAAGCUUCGCCCAAAGCCUUAACUUAUCAGGAUACCGUAUUGCUUGAAGCAGGAGUGCCGUCGCUGGUCACGCAACUUAAGAGAACUGCAGGGAAACAAGCAUCGAACCGGGGGUCGUGAUGGAGGCAUAGAUUUUGCUCUUGCGGCUCCUCGGGCGCCUGGUACACAGGGACACUUUAUCAGUGCACGAUAGCUAUAAGACGAAACAAUAUGGUGGUUUGCCUCGGUGCAGAGAACAGCAGUGCUGACAACUGAGCGCUCCCAAUUGUUGCCUUCUCUCCUACUGGAACUAUGACCGAGCCAAGCACCAGUGGCAAGCGCCAUAGAGAGGAUGAAGGUGUUGGAAACCUCGGCUGGCUGGCGAGCAGCGGUAUGCUGCCUCGCAAGCGGCAAGACAUUUCGGGAGUCGGCAAUGCGAGCAUUAUGGAGCUACAAGCACAACUUUAUCGCACGCAAGAAAAUGUGAAAUUGAAAGCAAGUGGCGUCGAGGUCCCCGACCGGCGAACUUCGGGGUUCAACGUCGCAUCGCUUAUGCAGCGACGAAACACGGGCGUGGAAGAGCGCGAUCGACGGGACAAGCUUGAAGUCAAGGUGAGGCGGGGUCUGGGAGUCCGCAAAUGCGACGUAGGGGCGGUGCUACGCUUGACGCGGACACUGGCCUCAGCAGUUCUGGACGACGCCCCGCGCGGUUUCCCCUCCACGCCCCUCCCGCACAGACCACCGCUGACCGCGUCGGGGAGUGUUACGCCGCGCUAGAGCGCAAGGCGCAACUAUACGAGAAACUAGGUAGGCGCUGCGACUGCUGCAGCCGUGCGCCGUGAACAAUGCCACACGGCACCACUGCCAUCCCUACCCCGCCAUUCCACCACGGCCACGUUGCACACCCCUCGCCGUCGAUGUAUGCGGACUCGCACAGGCUGUCCAGCUCGCCAUCUUCCACACGGCUACCAUAUGCCUGUACAAACUCCCUCGACCCUUUGCCAGCCCUAUCUACCCAUUGAUCGCUGUGCUUCUGCUCGACCGCUGUUCCGCUGCUGUUGCUGCUGCUGCUGCUACUGCUGCUGCUGCCGCAGCUCGCGGCGAGUUGGACGACGAGGGCGAGCAGUACGAGGUGGACUUCCUGCGCAAGGGCGGGGCGGCGGAGGAGGAGGCGGGUGGAGGCGAGGGCCGGCGCGGCGGCGACCUGGUGGACACCAUGCUGCAGGCAGUGUCGGGGACAGGUGAGGCGGGGGCGGAUGGGGGCAAGGAGUCCACGGGCCUUGUAGUCGGACUGCCCGAGCCGCCACCCUGACGGAGAGGGUCAACAAGUGUGUGCUGCGGCUGACCUGUCGGCAGAGCGUGUUGCUGCUGUUCGGCGCUCGGCCCGCGGGAUCUCACCACCCUCAGCCCCCGCCGCUGCUCGGCUGCAACCAUUGAGGCAGGACAGCAAGGGUUUAGGCAGGGUAGUAUGGACUGAGGCAGGGUAAUGCGGACUGGGCAAGGCAACCACCCGACACAUAGCGUGUCCCGGUCUAUUGUAUUCUUCUCUUGUGCGGAGACCGCACGUCUGAACCGCUCCUACUCCGCGCUGCACUUGCGCUCCUGACCACCUCCUGGCCACCUGUCGGCAUGCGGCCCCGCACACAGGCGGCAUGAUGACUGCGGACAUGGCGCGGGAACGGGAGCGGCGCGACUGGGAGCGGGACCAGCAGCGCAUCAUGGCGGACGAGGAGGCGGAGGAGCGGAGGCGGAAGCAGAAAGAGGUGCGUCCAACACAAGCGGAGGUCGGGGACCAAUGGCACCAUUGUUGUAUGCUGUUUAACCCGGGUUACCCUAUGCCGGCGAUGCUGCCUGUGAGCAGUUGAUAAGCAGUGCCUAACCUGCGGUGGCACGUCGUCGCAUGCGGUUUGCACAGGCGCUGCUUUGGCUUGUGGGGGCUGUCGGUGGAGGCGCUGCUGCCCGAGGUGACGGUGCCGGUGCCUGAGGUCCUGCGCAGCCGCAGCGAGUGGUGCACCACCUACCUGGAUGAGGACAUGCGGGUGGGGCGCGGCAGCGGCGGCGCGCUGUUCCUGUUCCGGCGCGGCGGCGCGGACGACGUCACCGAGGCGGCGGGCGCCAUGGGCGGCAGCCUGGGUGCGGGCUCCGGCAUGGGCAUGGGCUUGGGCGUGGGCUUGGGCGCGGUGGCUGCGGAUGCCCGCGCGCCGGUGAUGCGGCCGCUGUGAGGCGCGUGGGAGGAGGGGCGGGUGGCAGGAGGGAAGUGGAGCCUGGCGGCCGGCGCCGCGGGUGUGUAGCGGUGUGCCCGUGUGUGUGCGGGUGCGUGUACGUGUACGUGUACGUGUACGUGUACGUGUACGUGUACGUGUACGUGUACGUGUACGUGUGUGUGUGUGUGUGUGUGUGUGUGUACAUGUGUGUGUGUCUACAUGUGUGUGUACAUGUGUGUGUACAUGUGUGUGUACAUGUGUGUACCUGUGUGUACAUGUGUGUACAUGUGUGUGUGUGUGUUGAGGUGGGCAUGGUGUGGCUGUGUGGGCGAGGAGGAGCACAGCGCUUCCAUCCGGCACUUGUGAGACAUGUCACAAUUUAUCAUCAUUUUAUCGCGGCAGGCAGUCCUAUGCAUGAGCAAUUCAUGGCGGUGCGCAUGGCGUGGAAUGGAGUGAAUUGAUGUUGUCAGGGGGCUGGUUGCAAUGGCCGAUACCGGUACCUGUGGUCCUGUGCGUCUCUGCGUGUCCUGUACAGUGUAUUCCCCCAAAUGGAUAGGGAGGGCAUGGUUGCAGGCCUGGCCAGAUCAGGUGUCUGGGUUUUAUCCCUCGCCUGCGUGUGCGUGCUUGUAUCUAACUGUACCACUU
Molecule: long non-coding RNA, 3390 nt
Filed under: Chlamydomonas reinhardtii
Lineage: Eukaryota; Viridiplantae; Chlorophyta; Chlorophyceae; Chlamydomonadales; Chlamydomonadaceae
Description: long non-coding RNA (CREI_LNC001009)
Source: RNAcentral